Molecule: long non-coding RNA, 1049 nt
Organism: Clupea harengus (Atlantic herring)
Lineage: Eukaryota; Metazoa; Chordata; Actinopteri; Clupeiformes; Clupeidae
Source: Ensembl
CCUCUUUUCACUGCUAGCAAGUACUCUGCAUUUGAUAUACUUUGAAGGGCUGUCCACACUGCCAACAGUAACUAUGAGGACAGCUGUAACUAUAACGAUAUGGGCAUCCACACUGACCAACUAUACUGAAAACCUAUCGGAAAUAUAAUUCAUGUUUUCAUGCAAUUCGAUGGAUUCUGAUUGGCUGUCAUUUUUCAGAAUCGCUCUGAAAGUGACGCUCAACAGUAUUUAUUGUUAUUGUUAUUGUUGUUUUUAUUGUUAUUGUUAUCAUUGGCAGUGUGGAACAGGCCUUAACCGUUGAAUUGUGACAUCAGUGACAUCAACAUUCCAUUCAUUCUUGGAACCGCGCAAGAGAGGGCAGAAUAACAAACGUUACAUUUGACAGUUUAUGAGGAAUGUGAGCAAAUUGAUUAUGGAGGGUUGCACAGAUUAACACGUGAAGAUAGGUGAGUGUACAUAUUAACACGUUUAGAUAGGUGAGUGUACAGAUUAACACGUUUAGAUAGGUGAGUGUACAGAUUAACACGUUUAGACAGGUGAGUGUACAGAUUAACACGUUUAGAUAGGUGAGUGUACAGAUUAACACGUUUAGAUAGGUGAGUGUACAGAUUAACACGUUUAGAUAGGUGAGUGGACAGAUUAACACGUUUAGAUAGGUGAGUGCACAGAUUAACACGUUUAGAUAGGUGAGUGUACAGAUUAACACGUUUAGACAGGUGAGUGUACAGAUUAACACGUUUAGAUAGGUGAGUGUACAGAUUAACACGUUUAGAUAGGUGAGUGUACAGAUUAACACGUUUAGAUAGGUGAGUGUACAGAUUAACACGUUUAGAUAGGUGAGUGUACAGAUUAACACGUUAAAACAGGUGAGUGUACAGAUUAACACGUUUAGAUAGGUGAGUGUACAGAUUAACACGUUUAGAUAGGUGAGUGUACAGAUUAACACGUUUAGAUAGGUGAGUGUACAGAUUAACACAUUAAAACAGGUGAGUGUACAGAUUAACACGUUAAGAUAGGUGAGUGUACAGAUUAACACGUUUAGAUAGGUG